Molecule: unclassified non-coding RNA, 318 nt
Filed under: Hevea brasiliensis (rubber tree)
Lineage: Eukaryota; Viridiplantae; Streptophyta; Magnoliopsida; Malpighiales; Euphorbiaceae
Source: RNAcentral
AAACAAAUGAAAAUGGCAGCUGAAUAUGAGAUCAAUUCAAUGGAGUAUAGCAAGAAGCUUUGUUUAGCUCAAUGGAAAAGAUAUAGAUUUCCAACAAAAAAUAAUUGAUGUUUGAAUUCUAAGAAACUUAAGAUUUCCAGUUCUUUUAAAAUAAAUUUAACAAAUAAACAAAAAAUGAAACAAUAGAAAUACCAGAUCAGACAUCAGUGUUUUACAACAGUAAUUAAACUGAGUAAAACAGGAAAAGUCACUAGAGAUCACAUAAAAAAUAAAGAAUAAAAACUUGAAUGAUACACUCAAACCAAUACUAAAACCAAA